AGCGAACGCUGGCGGCAGGCUUAACACAUGCAAGUCGAGCGGGCAUCCUUGUGGUGUCAGCGGCAGACAGGUGAGUAACGCGUGGGAACGUGCCCUUCGGUUCGGAAUAACUCAGGGAAACUUGAGCUAAUACCGGAUACGUGCGAGAGCAGAAAGGUUUAUCUGCCGAAGGAUCGGCCCGCGUCUGAUUAGCUAGUUGGUGAGGUUACGGCUCACCAAGGCGACGAUCAGUAGCUGGUCUGAGAGGAUGAUCAGCCACACUGGGACUGAGACACGGCCCAGACUCCUACGGGAAGCAGCAGUGGGGAAUAUUGGACAAUGGGGGCAACCCUGAUCCAGCCAUGCCGCGUGAGUGAUGACGGCCUUAGGGUUGUAAAGCUCUUUUCUCCGGGACGAUAAUGACGGUACCGGAGGAAUAAGCCCCGGCUAACUUCGUG
Molecule: ribosomal RNA, 437 nt
Filed under: uncultured bacterium
Lineage: Bacteria
Description: partial 16S ribosomal RNA
Rfam family: Bacterial small subunit ribosomal RNA
Source: RNAcentral